Molecule: ribosomal RNA, 484 nt
Filed under: uncultured bacterium
Lineage: Bacteria
Description: partial 16S ribosomal RNA
Rfam family: Bacterial small subunit ribosomal RNA
Source: RNAcentral
AUUGAACGCUGGCGGCAGGCCUAACACAUGCAAGUCGAGCGGAUGAAGGGAGCUUGCUCCUGGAUUCAGCGGCGGACGGGUGAGUAAUGCCUAGGAAUCUGCCUGGUAGUGGGGGAUAACGUCCGGAAACGGGCGCUAAUACUGCAUACGUCCUGAGGGAGAAAGUGGGGGAUCUUCGGACCUCACGCUAUCAGAUGAGCCUAGGUCGGAUUAGCUAGUUGGUGGGGUAAAGGCCUACCAAGGCGACGAUCCGUAACUGGUCUGAGAGGAUGAUCAGUCACACUGGAACUGAGACACGGUCCAGACUCCUACGGGAGGCAGCAGUGGGGAAUAUUGGACAAUGGGCGAAAGCCUGAUCCAGCCAUGCCGCGUGUGUGAAGGAGGUCUUCGGAUUGUAAAGCACUUUAAGUUGGGAGGAAGGGCAGUAAGUUAAUACCUUGCUGUUUUGACGUUACCAACAGAAUAAGCACCGGCUAACUUCGUG